GACGAACGCUGGCGGCGUGCUUAACACAUGCAAGUCGAACGGAAAGGCCCUGCUUUUGUGGGGUGCUCGAGUGGCGAACGGGUGAGUAACACGUGAGUAACCUGCCCUUGACUUUGGGAUAACUUCAGGAAACUGGGGCUAAUACCGGAUAGGAGCUCCUGCUGCAUGGUGGGGGUUGGAAAGUUUCGGCGGUUGGGGAUGGACUCGCGGCUUAUCAGCUUGUUGGUGGGGUAGUGGUUUACCAAGGCUUUGACGGGUAGCCGGCCUGAGAGGGUGACCGGCCACAUUGGGACUGAGAUACGGCCCAGACUCCUACGGGAGGCAGCAGUGGGGAAUAUUGCACAAUGGGCGGAAGCCUGAUGCAGCAACGCCGCGUGCGGGAUGACGGCCUUCGGGUUGUAAACCGCUUUCGCCUGUGAGGAAGCGUGAGUGACGGUAAUGGGUAAAGAAGCACCGGCUAACUACGUG
RNAcentral lists this ribosomal RNA (468 nucleotides) under uncultured bacterium. Its description in RNAcentral is "partial 16S ribosomal RNA". It matches the Rfam family "Bacterial small subunit ribosomal RNA", at positions 28 to 507 of the family's 1533-position model. The record is from RNAcentral.